AGAAAUGAAUGAAGAGCAGAAAUGUGUGAGGGCAAUAAAUAUACAUUCAGAUUAUGACCAUUUGCUUAUAAAAAUGUUUUUGUUCAAGCUACCUCGGUCAUUUUAAACUUUAUUUUGUAAUGUGAGUAGAAUUCUACCAAUUAGGGUUUCAUUUGGACUAACUAGUAGCAUCCUUGUGGAAAAUUGCAAAUAUGAAAGUAAAUUAUUUCAGUCCAGUUGAUCUCUAUCACAUACCUGAAACGAACCACACUGAGGUAAUAGGAGUUUGGGAUGGUAAUUUAGGAACACAGGACUACUUAGGAGAAAGGAUUAGGAGGCAGGAUGAUUGGGAUUCCCUAAGGUGAAAUUUAGGGAAUUAGAGACAUCAGGAGUUGAGAGAGUUCUAACAAAGGACUUUGUUCAGAUAGGAUCUAGAAUUGGUUACCUUUCUGUGUUCUCAGCGGUCCCCAGUGCCCACAAUCAAUAAUAUUUUUUGGUAUCAGUAAGUUUCUUUUGGCUGGCUUGGGAACUUGGCCAACAUAAGCAACAUUGUUUCAUUAGUAAUAUGUAUGGAAUUCCACAGUAUCAAUUUAAAAAGUAAAUUUUUAAACUGAACUCAAAUAAGUUAGGUUAUAGCCUGUGCUUGUCCUCCUCUCUUCUAUUAUCAUCCACUCUGAGUUGAUAACAACAGUGAGAUUGCUUUUGCUUUCCCGUCAGUCAUAUAAAUUUUGCUGGCCAUUUGUAAAAUACCAAUGGAAGCAGUAAGUAGGAAGUACAGUGAAAAACUUAGAGUAAAGUAAGAGAAACCACUUGGAGAGCAAAAAAGGGCUUGUGGGCUUAGGGGAGCAGUUGUGAGCAGUGUCUCAGAACUCAAUUUACAGAUAACAUUGGUAGAUGAUCCUGUAAGGCAACUUGCAUUACCUCUGCUGACCUCUGAUAGUAAGCCACGAUGAAAAGUGAAUUCCUAUUGAUACUGAUUUGUGAAUUGAUGGGUAUUACAAAAUGUAAUUUUUUCCCCAGAUAAAUUGUAUAGAGUAGUGGAAUAUUGACUGUUUAUUUCAUACCUAGAAAUGCCUGAAGUUUCAUUAGUAGUAGGCAGAUUGUGAAACUUUUUCUCCCUGACAGUUGAGUACUUUGCAUUUUAUAUAUAUAAUUGAUUUUCAUGAAUGAAAAUUAUUUUCAAGUAAGUGUGAAUAAAUUUUAGUAAACGAAAUUUGCAGUAUUUUUAUCUCUGUUUUGGGGAUUGUCAUUACGUUAGAUGUUCCUCAAUAGGGGUAAUUGUCUUGCAUCCUUAUCUCUUAUCAUAAUCUGUUUUUCUUCACACAGUGUUACAGUUGUGCUGCUGGACUCUUCCCUCCCUCCCCCCACCCCAUCAGGAUGAUAUGAGACUGGAAAGAAGACAAUGCAUACAG
Long non-coding RNA from Ailuropoda melanoleuca (giant panda), 1391 nucleotides. RefSeq lists it as uncharacterized. The transcript has 2 exons. The record is from RefSeq and is a predicted model, not a curated record. NCBI's taxonomy places the organism in Eukaryota, Metazoa, Chordata, Mammalia, Carnivora, Ursidae.